GUGAAUCAUCAAAUUUUUGAACGCAAAUUGCACUUUCUGGUAUUCCGGAAAGUAUGCCUGUUUGAGGGUCGGUUAAAUAAAAAUCGGUGUUGUUGCUGCCUUUCGUGGUGAUGCGGCGGAAUUGGGUUGUCUUAUCUUCGGUUAAGUGACUUAAAAUUUUUGCAUGAUUUUCGAAUGUAUUUAUAUCGCUUACGUAAGUUUGUGAUAUCGAAUGCUGAUUAGGUUUGGUAAUUCGGAUGAUUCGCGCCUAUAAUUUUUCAUUAAAUGACUGUAAAUCA
This 278-nucleotide unclassified non-coding RNA is filed under the name Glomus sp. Its description in RNAcentral is "partial contains 5.8S ribosomal RNA and internal transcribed spacer 2". The stretch from base 1 to 71 matches the Rfam family "5.8S ribosomal RNA", at positions 84 to 154 of the family's 154-position model. The record is from RNAcentral. Lineage: Eukaryota; Fungi; Glomeromycota; Glomeromycetes; Glomerales; Glomeraceae.